This 484-nucleotide ribosomal RNA is filed under the name uncultured bacterium. RNAcentral describes it as "partial 16S ribosomal RNA". It matches the Rfam family "Bacterial small subunit ribosomal RNA", at positions 29 to 507 of the family's 1533-position model. The record is from RNAcentral.
AUUGAACGCUGGCGGAAUGCUUUACACAUGCAAGUCGAACGGCAGCACGGGGGCAGCCCUGGUGGCGAGUGGCGAACGGGUGAGUAAUACAUCGGAACGUGCCCGGUCGGGGGGGAUAACGUAGCGAAAGUUACGCUAAUACCGCAUACGAUCUGAGGAUGAAAGCGGGGGACCUUCGGGCCUCGCGCGAUCGGAGCGGCCGAUGUCAGAUUAGGUAGUUGGUGGGGUAAAGGCCUACCAAACCGACGAUCUGUAGCUGGUCUGAGAGGACGACCAGCCACACUGGGACUGAGACACGGCCCAGACUCCUACGGGAGGCAGCAGUGGGGAAUUUUGGACAAUGGGCGCAAGCCUGAUCCAGCCAUUCCGCGUGCAGGACGAAGGCCUUCGGGUUGUAAACUGCUUUUGUACGGAACGAAAAGGCUCUGGCUAAUACCUGGGGCUCAUGACGGUACCGUAAGAAUAAGCACCGGCUAACUACGUG